RNAcentral lists this long non-coding RNA (1027 nucleotides) under Felis catus (domestic cat). RNAcentral describes it as "lncRNA (ENSFCAG00000052236.1)". The record is from RNAcentral. Lineage: Eukaryota; Metazoa; Chordata; Mammalia; Carnivora; Felidae.
GGGCCUCACAGAAAAGAGAUUGUUACCCCGCUGGCAAGGUACUGGCUUGACACUUCCCAAGAAAACGGCAGCACCCGAGCUAUCGAUCCAAGGGCCCUUCGUGCCUCCAAACUCCGACACUGCGGCUCGUUCGUGUCGCACAGCCAUCGACCUCUAGAGCCACCUGCACCCCUCACAGGGGGUCCCGGUCGGCUAGGGGCGGGAUAGAGCCGGGAUAGCCGGCCUAGAGAAAAGACGGCCGAUCCCUGGUUGAGGCCUUACUUUAUCUGUGAAAGCCACUAAAGCUGUGCAGGGCUUUUGACCUGGCGCACGGACAGGUAGAGGACAAAGGGAGGUGUGGCGUCCUCCCCACACUUUAGGUCCUCUUAGAAGAAACAAAACACCAAAAGCCCCCCUGGCGGGCGCGGGCUGCCUCAAACUGGCCUCGCGGGGGCCGGGGCCGGGGCCCUGGCAGUCUGGCAGAUCUGCGGUGCGGGGAGGCCGGGGUUCCGGGGGGUUCCGGGCGGCCCCGAGCGAAGAGUCGGUCAGGCCCCGGCGCCCACGCGGCCGCGCUCCCAGACUCCCUUGCGCCUGGGGCGGGCGCGGGGCGCUUUGGGGCCCUUCCGGCCGCCGCGGCCCCUCGGGCUCCCCGGGGCGCGGCCACCCGGCCGCCCGGGCCCCGCCCGCUCGCCGCCGCCGCCGGGGCCCCUCCGGCGCGCGGUCCCGGGGCCUGGCCGGCGAACGGGUUCCAGCGCCCGCCUUGCCUCUGCGCCCCCCGGGGGUCGGGGAGGCACCUCGCAGCGGCCUUCCAGCCUCUCACCGGCCUCCCUUCUCCCCCUCUCCCCGCUCUGUACGGGCGCCCCUCGGGCCAGGAGGAGGCCCGGUGGCAGCAGCCGGCGCCCAGCCUCCCCCUUCCCCCCCCCCCCCCCCCCGCCCCGGGAGGACGGUGCCCGCGCCUUCUGGCUCCCUCCGGUGGGCGCCCGCAGGACCCAGCCACGCGGUCCAAGUUGCAGUGUGCCUAGAUUUUCCUCCAAGGACAAAAAUGUGA